GCCGGUGUGGCGGAAUUGGCAGACGCGCUGGACUCAAAAUCCAGUAUCCAUUAGGAUGUAUCGGUUCGACCCCGAUCACCGGUA
RNAcentral lists this transfer RNA (84 nucleotides) under Ligilactobacillus hayakitensis DSM 18933 = JCM 14209. Its description in RNAcentral is "Lactobacillus hayakitensis DSM 18933 = JCM 14209 tRNA". It matches the Rfam family "tRNA". Rfam says of the family: Transfer RNA (tRNA) molecules are approximately 80 nucleotides in length. Their secondary structure includes four short double-helical elements and three loops (D, anti-codon, and T loops). Further hydrogen bonds mediate the characteristic L-shaped molecular structure. tRNAs have two regions of fundamental functional importance: the anti-codon, which is responsible for specific mRNA codon recognition, and the 3' end, to which the tRNAs corresponding amino acid is attached (by aminoacyl-tRNA synthetases). tRNAs cope with the degeneracy of the genetic code in two manners: having more than one tRNA (with a specific anti-codon) for a particular amino acid; and 'wobble' base-pairing, i.e. permitting non-standard base-pairing at the 3rd anti-codon position. Lineage: Bacteria; Bacillati; Bacillota; Bacilli; Lactobacillales; Lactobacillaceae. The record is from Rfam by way of RNAcentral.